AAAACAACUCUCAGCAACGGAUAUCUUGGCUCUUGCAACGAUGAAGAACGCAGCGAAAUGCGAUACGUAGUGUGAAUUGCAGAAUUCCGCGAAUCAUCGAGUCUUUGAACGCAAGUUGCGCCCGAGGCUUGUCCAAGGGCAUUUCCGCUAGAGCGUCACCGCGCCCCCCCACCAACCCCCCCUCCCAGCGAGAGUCGGGUCGAGUGAAAGUG
RNAcentral lists this ribosomal RNA (212 nucleotides) under Distichophyllum pulchellum. Its description in RNAcentral is "5.8S ribosomal RNA". The stretch from base 6 to 158 matches the Rfam family "5.8S ribosomal RNA". Rfam says of the family: 5.8S ribosomal RNA (5.8S rRNA) is a component of the large subunit of the eukaryotic ribosome. It is transcribed by RNA polymerase I as part of the 45S precursor that also contains 18S and 28S rRNA. Lineage: Eukaryota; Viridiplantae; Streptophyta; Bryopsida; Hookeriales; Daltoniaceae. The record is from RNAcentral.